GGCUUAGAGUUUGAUCAUGGCUCAGGAUGAACGCUGGCGACAGGCUUAACACAUGCAAGUCGAGGGGCAGCACUGGUAGCAAUACCGGGUGGCGACCGGCGCACGGGUGAGUAACGCGUAUGCAACUUACCUAUCAGAGGGGGAUAACCCGGCGAAAGUCGGACUAAUACCGCAUGAAGCAGGGGCCCCGCAUGGGGAUAUUUGCUAAAGAUUCAUCGCUGAUAGAUAGGCAUGCGUUCCAUUAGGCAGUUGGCGGGGUAACGGCCCACCAAACCGACGAUGGAUAGGGGUUCUGAGAGGAAGGUCCCCCACAUUGGUACUGAGACACGGACCAAACUCCUACGGGAGGCAGCAGUGAGGAAUAUUGGUCAAUGGGCGUAAGCCUGAACCAGCCAAGUCGCGUGAGGGAUGAAGGUUCUAUGGAUCGUAAACCUCUUAUAUAAGGGAAUAAAGUGUGGGACGUGUCCUAUUUUGUAUGUACCUUAUGAAUAAGGAUCGGCUAACUCCGUGCCAGCAGCCGCGGUAAUACGGAGGAUCCGAGCGUUAUCCGGAUUUAUUGGGUUUAAAGGGUGCGUAGGCGGCCUUUUAAGUCAGCGGUGAAAGUCUGUGGCUCAACCAUAGAAUUGCCGUUGAAACUGGGGGGCUUGAGUAUGUUUGAGGCAGGCGGAAUGCGUGGUGUAGCGGUGAAAUGCUUAGAUAUCACGCAGAACCCCGAUUGCGAAGGCAGCCUGCCAAGCCAUGACUGACGCUGAUGCACGAAAGCGUGGGGAUCAAACAGGAUUAGAUACCCUGGUAGUCCACGCAGUAAACGAUGAUCACUAGCUGUUUGCGAUACAGUGUAAGCGGCACAGCGAAAGCGUUAAGUGAUCCA
Molecule: ribosomal RNA, 871 nt
Filed under: uncultured bacterium
Lineage: Bacteria
Description: bacterial SSU rRNA
Rfam family: Bacterial small subunit ribosomal RNA
Source: RNAcentral